RNAcentral lists this ribosomal RNA (380 nucleotides) under uncultured bacterium. Its description in RNAcentral is "bacterial SSU rRNA". It matches the Rfam family "Bacterial small subunit ribosomal RNA", at positions 29 to 438 of the family's 1533-position model. The record is from RNAcentral.
AACGAACGCUGGCGGCAGGCCUAACACAUGCAAGUCGAGCGCCCAGCAAUGGGAGCGGCGGACGGGUGAGUAACACGUGGGAAUAUGCCUUUCGGUUCGGCACAACUCAGGGAAACUUGAGCUAAUUCCGGAUACGCCCUUACGGGGAAAGAUUUAUCGCCGAAAGAUUAGCCCGCGUUGGAUUAGCUAGUUGGUGAGGUAACGGCCCACCAAGGCGACGAUCAGUAGCUGGUCNGAGAGGAUGAUCAGCCACAUUGGGACUGAGACACGGCCCAAACUCCUACGGGAGGCAGCAGUGGGGAAUAUUGGACAAUGGGCGCAAGCCUGAUCCAGCCAUGCCGCGUGAGUGAUGAAGGCCCUAGGGUUGUAAAGCUCUUUUA